AGUCUUGCUCCUCUGCCUUCUCUCUCCACCAUUUUCCAGGUCUCCGGUUUCACUUACCUCCAAAGCAUCCUUGCUAGAGGGAUUUUUCUAAAAUUAUAUAGGAUGCUAGCACUUCUCCAAAGCAACACUUCCUGGAAACUUAAGAAAGUUUCAAGUUCUAUUAGCAUGACAUAAAUCUUUUCCAUAAGAAAUCACCAAGAGGUAAAACACCUUCCUCUGUUUCAUCAGAUAAGUGUUGUGCAGCAUGUAGAACCCUAGUUCCACCACGGAUGAAAUCUUGGCCCCUUGCAUUGGAAGGACCAAAUCUUAACCUUUGGACCACCAGGGAAGUUCCUCAUUUCUCAGUUUUGAAAUGUGACUCCACCAUCUUAAAAAGUGCAAAAAGAAGGCAUUAUUUGUGUUCAAAAUGCUUUAUUUGGUGAAGGGCAGUGAAGAUUUAUUAUUCCUUGAAUUUAAAUUUCCACAGCACUUAAUGGAUCUAUGUCAGAACACUUAGAUUGUGUGCCUCUCUCUGUAAAAGACAGAUUAAGACUUGUUGGAAGACAGGGACUUGGUUCACUCAUCUUCACACAUUUGUCUCAUCCUGCUUCAGAUUAGUUGCCACGUGUGUAGAAUACAGUAAAUUAUCUUAGCAAACUGGUGGCUAUUCCCGCUUGUUCUCUCUGCGGUAUGCAAACUUGUAAUCGCCAUUAAGCGGUCAGUAAAUUCAUGUCAAAGAAGUGGGUGAUAUACAUAGGGUAAUACGAUAAUACCUUAACUGUCUACCGCAUGGGCAUCCAGAACUCUAUCUCUGAGCCCAAGACAGGGCCUGCUGGUUCUAUCCCCAAAUUGCCAUGCGCCCCAGGCAACAAGCCCUGCAGCUACCAUGGCAUUUCCUUUCACUCUGAGACCUCAGCAUCCAAUUCUCGCGUCAUUCUCUUCCAUCUCCCUCUUUGAAGUUUUCACAAGCUUUGGUAUAUUUUAGAUA
This is a long non-coding RNA of Bos taurus (domestic cattle), 967 nucleotides long. The record is from Ensembl. NCBI's taxonomy places the organism in Eukaryota, Metazoa, Chordata, Mammalia, Artiodactyla, Bovidae.